CUGUGAGAGCAGCUCCAGCCCCAAAACCCAUUCCAUUGAAAGUUCACUGGCCUUCAUGAUCUAUGAGAAGGAAUUUCUUAUUUGGUGAAUUAUUGCCCUAAUUAAUUUGAUUCAUGGAGCACACACCUUUGCAAUUCUCUCCUCUGCUACCCACUUUCUCUGUGAAAGAUGCAGUCAAGACACUAAAGUCUACAAGGACUCUUAGCUUUGAACCAGAAGAUUAGUUUCUCAGAAUAAUUCAACCUCUCACUAUUGUUCAGUAUUCUUGAGCCUCAUUUUACUUCUCUGUAAAAUGGGGAGAGCAUAAUUGCCUUGACUUUUAUCCCUUCCUUAGCAUACAAGAAAUAUUGAAUGCUUUGUAAACUAUCAAGAGCCAUUUUAUGGUAAGUUAUGCUUAUUCAAGCCAUUUUAUUUGUAUUUUAAAAUACUCUUAAAUAUCUUUUGGUUCUAAUUCUUCAGUCACUCAAGUAGUGCUUGUUUCAAAGCAGGGUGUUCCAAACCCAGAGCACACAAUUUGAUUCCUGGAUCAUACCGUCAGGCUCUCUUGACUCUCUGUGACUCUGCUUUCCUCAUCAUUAUUUCACCAAAACCAAGAACUAGGUAAAUGUUUACCCUGAGGCUAAGAGAGGUCUUUAAAAUGACCUUAGUCAUGUGAAUAGACCAGUUGCCACUUACCCCUUAAUAUAAUUAGUUUCCAAAAUGUAAAAUAUUGAGAUAGCAUUGGUUUUUCAUAGGUUUCAGUCAAAGCCAAUGUAGGAGCUUUAAUCAGUAGCAAAAAGAGUUAAGUUGAUAAGUAAGAAGAAAAAAAAUAUCCUCAAUAUGCCCUACCUCACUAUCCACUUAACAGUCAAUUUUGGCAUAAAAGUGUCUCACUGUUUCACUAGAUAGUCUGGUGCUCACCUGUCAGCCAGUUGGCUAACGUCACAUGGUGGAAGAACCUUGUAGUAGAGCAGGUGUUCAUCUGACUAUAGCUCUGAAAGGUGAAUUGGUCAGCUUUGUAUCCUAUAGAAUCUGUAAUUACUACCCCUUGCCACAUGUUUAUAUCCUCUCUGUCCAUCCUCACCUCUUUCAUCUGAUCUUCCUUUUUAAAAAGACAUUUUAAGAUUAUCAUUAAAACACAAAAUGUUGGAUAAGUGAAUUGAUAUUUGGGUAUUUGCCAUCUCAAAAUUAUAUUAAAAAGAGGACUUUAUUUUUAAAAGUUUGAAAAUCCACAUCAAUUGCACAGUCCCACACAGUUUUUUUUCUGUCUCUUCUGAAUGCUGUGGAAAAAUACUUCAUCUUUCUUGGCUAUUGAACCUAUCAAUAUUAACUUAGAGUGCAUCUCUUCUACAGUUCUCUUACAGGUUGCUCAUUUUCAGUGACACCUGCUUUCUAGUUGGAGAAAUUCUUGAAAUCAUGGGUAUCACAUCAAAAUUUCUUUCAGUUAGGAUGACAGAUCCAAUAAACUGCAUGUGUGUGAAGUACAGAUAAAGGUAAUCAGAUCUCAUGCUUCGGGGAAUAAACUGAUUACCUAUGAUGGUCAGGAAGGAAUUUUCUCCAUUAGCAUCCUGCAAAUACACAAGCCCAGCACAGGAUCCUGCAUUCUGCUACUCUAAAGCUUUCUUCUAGAGUUUAAUUAUGUAUGUGGUAUAAAAUCUGAACCAGUGACAUAAUGUGCUGUGUAUAAUGGUUGUCAUACAUGGGUAAGUAUUUAAUAUGCAGCAAAAUAAAUACUGUUAACAUUUGAAACAGAGUUCUAUUUAGAUAACUGAGAUAGUGGUUCAUUAAAGAUAAACUACUUAAGAUCUUUUCAUGUUUCCUCCAGGGAUCUCAAAGUACCUUCCCAAAAUGAAACCAUUAAUCCUCAUGAAUAUUCUGUCACAUAAAUUCUGUUAAAUUUCUCUGGAAAAAAAAAAACAAAAACAAGUCAGUCAAUUUUACUAACCAGUAAGUCUGAAUAGCACCAAGUUUUUAUAGUAGCCUACCAAUCUUUAUUGCCUUGAAAUCUAAUUAGAGAUUUGACUUUUAAGACCAUUAUUCUAGAUGGAAUUCUUUUUCAUCCCUAACUCACUGUCUACAUUCAUCCCUCCAAUAAACAUGUAGUAAGAGUCAACAAUGUGCAAAGUGCUAGAUAUGAAAAGAGAGAUAGGACUUAGGGUCCAGGGCGAGAGAGCUGGGAAGUUCUAAAUACCCUAGUGGGGUCCCUCUUCAUCCGCUGUCUUCUUCAUACUCUGUAGUUGUUCACAUAUAUAAAUCUCAUCUGAUUCAGGAGUUGGCCCUAAGAGCCUAUAGAACAUUCCAAUUCAGUUCACAUUUAGAGAGACUUGGUUAUUUAUGUUCUACCUUAGAAAACCUUUGAAAUAACUUUGUGUUUCUUUUCUUUCUUUUUUUCCCCAAAAACAAGAGGGAAAAUUUAAAAACAAAACAAAACAAACAAACAAAACUGUAAAGGCAGCCCGGGGAUCCCAAGCCUUUUAUUUUUAACUUGCAUUUAUAUUGCUCUUCAGCCUUAUGUCCAUAACUCUUGAAAAAUGUGGAAAUUUUUCUACAUUACCAUGCCUUAAGUUGUGUGUGUGUGAGUGUGUGUGUGUGUGUGUAUGUGUGUUGGCCUUUAUGAAAAACACUCUAAAUUCACAUUUCACAAUUUGUUACCCACCCCACUCCCUCAUAGCUUGUGAUGUUUUUAAAUGCUUAUGAAGUAGCUCAGCCCCAGAAUGAACUUUCUGAAGUCCACACAUGAUCAAUUUCUGUACUCACUUAAUAUCCUUCAGGUGAUUCUUUGGUCAUCUUAGGUUGAAAUACAAAUGCUUUAUCAUUCACAAGGCUUAUCAUGGUCUGCUAUCUCUCUCACUUUCCAACAAUAUCUAUUUCAUUCCCCUAUCCAGAUGUCAGCCAUAUUGCAUAACCCAGAGAAUUUUGAAUACCAUACUUCAGAUUUGGAACUUUCUGCAUAUAUGCAUUGAGUGCUCACUGAAAGAUUUUAAGCAAAGAGGUGAAAUUGUGUGAACUGUGCAUUAGGAAGAUUUCUCUGGAGGAACUUUAUAGCAGGCCCUGUUUAAAAAAAAAAAAAAA
This 3051-nucleotide long non-coding RNA is filed under the name Canis lupus familiaris (dog). Its description in RNAcentral is "lncRNA (ENSCAFG00000056455.1)". The record is from RNAcentral. Lineage: Eukaryota; Metazoa; Chordata; Mammalia; Carnivora; Canidae.